This 525-nucleotide ribosomal RNA is filed under the name Syntomoza unicolor. RNAcentral's name for it is "partial large subunit ribosomal RNA". The record is from RNAcentral. Lineage: Eukaryota; Metazoa; Arthropoda; Insecta; Hemiptera; Liviidae.
UUCGCGCCGGCGCCCCUAGUGGAGUUGCCGGCGCGAGCUCUGACGAAACCCGAAGGCGAAAAGAAAUUGAAGCCGAGYCCAGCGCUCGACCUGCGCGAGGGAAGAUGGCGACGGAUCCGGCGGCCGCCGUCACGGCGGCAGAGCGGAUCGGCCCGCAUUCCCGGGGUGCCUCAAUCGCCGGCGCCGCUUGCGGCGCCCGACGAGAGGUGCGCCUAGAGCACACACGCUAGGACCCGAAAGAUGGUGAACUAUGCCUGGCCAGGACGAAGUCAGGGGAAACCCUGAUGGAGGUCCGAAACGAUUCUGACGUGCAAAUCGAUCGUCUGAGCUGGGUAUAGGGGCGAAAGACUAAUCGAACUAUCUAGUAGCUGGUUCCCUCCGAAGUUUCCCUCAGGAUAGCUGGUGCUCGGAGGCAAGGAAGAGUCUCUUCCGGUAAAGCGAAUGAUUAGAGGCCUUGGGGCCGAAACGACCUCAACCUAUUCUCAAACUUUAAAUGGGUGAGAUCCCCGGCUUGCUYGAGAUGUC